GGUAACUUAUUCUACUAAUCAAUAAUAAUGGAUCUAAGAAUCAUAAAUAAAUGUAUAAUAAAUAAUAAAAGUUAAAUAUAUAUCUUUUGUCGCCCCAACAAAAAAGUCUAAUCAACAGCAGUAAAAAUGAAACACAACAGCCAUUAAAAUUGACCAUUAAAGCUCUAUAGGGUCUUCUCGUCUUCCAAAAGAAUUUGAGCCUUUUAACUCAAAAGCUAAAUUUUAACUUAUUUAAUUGAGACAGUUAGCGCCUCGUCAAGCCCUUCAUUCCAGCCCCCUAUUAAAAGACUAAUGAUUAUGCUACCUUUGCACGGUCAAAAUACCGCGGCCGUUAAAUAAUUAUCACCGGGCAGGCUUGACCUCAUAUAAUAAAACAAGAGGAC
RNAcentral lists this ribosomal RNA (383 nucleotides) under Mnais strigata. RNAcentral describes it as "partial 16S ribosomal RNA". Lineage: Eukaryota; Metazoa; Arthropoda; Insecta; Odonata; Calopterygidae. The record is from RNAcentral.